This 255-nucleotide ribosomal RNA is filed under the name uncultured bacterium. Its description in RNAcentral is "partial 16S ribosomal RNA". It matches the Rfam family "Bacterial small subunit ribosomal RNA", at positions 524 to 776 of the family's 1533-position model. The record is from RNAcentral.
UACGUAGGCAGCAAGCGUUGUUCGGAGUUACUGGGCGUAAAGGGUGCGUAGGCGGCUUUUUAAGUUUGGUGUGAAAUCUCCCGGCUCAACUGGGAGGGUGCGCCGAAUACUGAGAGGCUAGAGGUGUGGGAAGAGGAAAGUGGAAUUCCUGGUGUAGCGGUGAAAUGCGUAGAUAUCAGGAGGAACACCGGUGGUGUAAACGGCUUUCUGAACCAUAACUGACGCUGAUGCACGAAAGCGUGGGUAGCAAACAGG